RNAcentral lists this ribosomal RNA (467 nucleotides) under uncultured bacterium. RNAcentral describes it as "partial 16S ribosomal RNA". It matches the Rfam family "Bacterial small subunit ribosomal RNA", at positions 28 to 507 of the family's 1533-position model. The record is from RNAcentral.
GACGAACGCUGGCGGCGUGCUUAACACAUGCAAGUCGAACGGACAGGCCUCUUUCGGGGGGUACUCGCGUGGCGAACGGGUGAGUAACACGUGAGUAACCUGCCCUUGACUUUGGGAUAACUUCAGUAAACUGGGGCUAAUACCGGCUAGGAUCUCCUGCUGCCUGGUUGGGGUUGGAAAGUUUCGGCGGUUGGGGAUGGACUCGCGGCUUAUCCGCUUGUUGGUGGGGUAGUGGCUUACCAAGGCUUUGACGGGUAGCCGGCCUGAGAGGGUGACCGGCCACAUUGGGACUGAGAUACGGCACAGACUCCUACGGGAGGCAGAAGGGGGGAAUAUUGCACAAUGGGUGGAAGCAUGAUGCAGCAACGCCGUGUGCGGGAUGACGGCCUUCGGGUUGUAAACCGCUUUCGCUCAUGACGAAGCUUUGUGUGACGGUAGUGGGUAAAGAAGCACCGGCUAACUACGUG